GCUANANUGCAGUCGAGCGGAUGAAGGAGCUUGCUCCUGGAUUCAGCGGCGGACGGGUGAGUAAUGCCUAGGAAUCUGCCUGGUAGUGGGGGACAACGUUUCGAAAGGAACGCUAAUACCGCAUACGUCCUACGGGAGAAAGCAGGGGACCUUCGGGCCUUGCGCUAUCAGAUGAGCCUAGGUCGGAUUAGCUAGUUGGUGAGGUAAUGGCUCACCAAGGCGACGAUCCGUAACUGGUCUGAGAGGAUGAUCAGUCACACUGGAACUGAGACACGGUCCAGACUCCUACGGGAGGCAGCAGUGGGGAAUAUUGGACAAUGGGCGAAAGCCUGAUCCAGCCAUGCCGCGUGUGUGAAGAAGGUCUUCGGAUUGUAAAGCACUUUAAGUUGGGAGGAAGGGUUGUAGAUUAAUACUCUGCAAUUUUGACGUUACCGACAGAAUAAGCACCGGCUAACUCUGUGCCAGCAGCCGCGGUAAUACAGAGGGUGCAAGCGUUAAUCGGAAUUACUGGGCGUAAAGCGCGCGUAGGUGGUUCGUUAAGUUGGAUGUGAAAUCCCCGGGCUCAACCUGGGAACUGCAUUCAAAACUGUCGAGCUAGAGUAUGGUAGAGGGUGGUGGAAUUUCCUGUGUAGCGGUNAA
This 639-nucleotide ribosomal RNA is filed under the name Pseudomonas sp. ZK-12. RNAcentral's name for it is "bacterial SSU rRNA". It matches the Rfam family "Bacterial small subunit ribosomal RNA", at positions 46 to 685 of the family's 1533-position model. Lineage: Bacteria; Pseudomonadati; Pseudomonadota; Gammaproteobacteria; Pseudomonadales; Pseudomonadaceae. The record is from RNAcentral.